UAGGGAAUCUUCCGCAAUGGGCGAAAGCCUGACGGAGCAACGCCGCGUGAGUGAUGAAGGUCUUCGGAUCGUAAAACUCUGUUAUUAGGGAAGAACAAAUGUGUAAGUAACUAUGCACGUCUUGACGGUACCUAAUCAGAAAGCCACGGCUAACUACGUGCCAGCAGCCGCGGUACUACGUAGGUGGCAAGCGUUAUCCGGAAUUAUUGGGCGUAAAGCGCGCGUAGGCGGUUUUUUAAGUCUGAUGUGAAAGCCCACGGCUCAACCGUGGAGGGUCAUUGGAAACUGGAAAACUUGAGUGCAGAAGAGGAAAGUGGAAUUCCAUGUGUAGCGGUGAAAUGCGCAGAGAUAUGGAGGAACACCAGUGGCGAAGGCGACUUUCUGGUCUGUAGCUGACGCUGAUGUGCGAAAGCGUGGGGAUCAAACAGG
RNAcentral lists this ribosomal RNA (429 nucleotides) under Actinomycetes bacterium. RNAcentral's name for it is "Actinobacteria bacterium partial 16S ribosomal RNA". It matches the Rfam family "Bacterial small subunit ribosomal RNA", at positions 355 to 776 of the family's 1533-position model. Lineage: Bacteria; Bacillati; Actinomycetota; Actinomycetes. The record is from RNAcentral.